CAGACACGGAGCAGCUGAGCACCAUCCCGUCUGUGACUCCAGCAUGUGACCUGCCGCCCCGCGGCCUGUCUACCCAGAUGGCCACUUUCCUCUCCUCGGCCCCCCCUCCAUCCCCUCACAGCUGAGCCGGCCCCCCCGAGGGCCACGGGGGGGCCGAUCCACCGACAGCUCGCCGAGCCCGCCGCUAACCAGCGAGCCCAACGCCGAGCCGGGCCCGAGUUGCGUGCGGCUCGGUGGGCUGAGGGACUAAACGAUGUGUUGGUACGUAGAAAGGAUCACACAGAAGAAUUGAGGACUGGAAAAGCCUUCUCGUCAUCGUCGUGAUCUUCAUCUCCCUGAAUUCGCAGAGUCAACCCGUCGAUGUGAACAUCGACCUCGUGCAGCCUGACACCUGUGAAGUCGCCGUACUCAGACUGCCUUCCACGUCCCAUAAUCCCUUGCUUUGUCUCCUCGUUGGCAAGCCCGGCCAAUCAAAGACUUUAACUGGGUGAGUGAUGGGAGGCAGGAUGAACCAAUUACCGCGGCGACGACUGUAACCCCCCCGCCCCCCCC
Long non-coding RNA from Gasterosteus aculeatus aculeatus (three-spined stickleback), 552 nucleotides. The record is from Ensembl. NCBI's taxonomy places the organism in Eukaryota, Metazoa, Chordata, Actinopteri, Perciformes, Gasterosteidae.